RNAcentral lists this ribosomal RNA (441 nucleotides) under uncultured bacterium. RNAcentral describes it as "partial 16S ribosomal RNA". It matches the Rfam family "Bacterial small subunit ribosomal RNA", at positions 338 to 795 of the family's 1533-position model. The record is from RNAcentral.
CCUACGGGGUGCUGCAGUGGGGAAUAUUGCACAAUGGGCGAAAGCCUGAUGCAGCAACGCCGCGUGAAGGAAGAAGGCCUUCGGGUCGUAAACUUCUGUCCUUGGGGAAGAAGAACUGACGGUACCCAAGGAGGAAGCCCCGGCUAACUACGUGCCAGCAGCCGCGGUAAUACGUAGGGGGCAAGCGUUAUCCGGAAUUAUUGGGCGUAAAGAGUACGUAGGUGGCAACCUAAGCGCAGGGUUUAAGUCAAUGGCUCAACCAUUGUUCGCCCUGCGAACUUGGAUGCUUGAGUGCAGGAGAGGAAAGCGGAAUUCCUAGUGUAGCGGUGAAAUGCGUAGAUAUAAGGAAGAACACCAGUGGCGAAGGCGGAUUACUGGACGAUAACUGACGGUGAGGCGCGAAAGCGUGGGGAGCAAACAGGAUUAGAUACCCUUGUAGUC